RNAcentral lists this long non-coding RNA (966 nucleotides) under Heterocephalus glaber (naked mole-rat). RNAcentral's name for it is "lncRNA (ENSHGLG00100041364.1)". Lineage: Eukaryota; Metazoa; Chordata; Mammalia; Rodentia; Bathyergidae. The record is from RNAcentral.
CCGCCCCGUUCCCGGCUGGCUGGGGAAGGGGCGUCCGGAGCCGCAGUGGCCCAGGAACAACUACAGCCCGUCGGGGACGAGAGAGAUGGGGGCGGGCGUUAGAAACGCGUUCUCCGCUGCGUGAGGCUGUGGCCUAGACCUCGGCGCGUUUCAUCUCCGGCGUACUCCUCGGGGAGAGCCGGGAGGUCCUCCUCACUCUGUGACCUACGCUGUGGCAGUUGGGAAAGGACCUGAGAAAGUGACAAAAGGCGAUGCUCCGGUCACAGCAGGGGCCCAGAAGGGCGCCCACAAGGGAUCUGAGCACGCCUGGCCCCUGGCUUCCCGAGGAGGGUUGCGCCUUAAGUGGGGUGCGCGAGGACCGGGCGGGCUCCGGGGCAACAAGGCCCCACAGUCCCAGGGGUGCUCGCGGUGACCUGGUGGGGCUACUGGUGGGUCGGCCCCGCAGCCGUGAGCCAAGGAAACAGGGCCGGUGGCACUGACGCUCCUGUGAGAACCUAACUGCCACCUGAGGCGUCCAUGCGGGCCUGGCCAGGAGCGCCUCGAGGAGCCCAGGCAGAUCCUCUCAUUGAAACGCAGGUCGAGCUGCUCUUACCUGCUCAGGAAGGACUUCACUAACCCUAGCCAGAAAACCUAGACCCAGAAUGACAGCAGAAUUCGGGCGUCAGGACCCAGUGGUCAGUUCUGACCCAAGGUUACACAGCUGCCCCUGACUGAUGGAGAGAGGAACAGAAAGAGCUGCUGCUGGCCCACAAAUCAGGAAGUCAACUCAUUCUGAGCCCCAAACCUAGGACUUCUGGAUGAGGAAACUGAAGCUUGUGCCAAACGAGGAAAGGAAUUCGGGUCAGGUCACACAGCUAGUAGAUCUCAGGGCUGGGCUUUGAAUGCACCCUGGCCUACACAGGAAGUUCAAGGCCAACGUGAGCUACUUACAGACCUUCAAAAAAACUAGAAAAUGUAAAAAUAAAG